GCUUGGCUUCUUUGCUGACGAGUGGCGGACGGGUGAGUAAUGUCUGGGAAACUGCCUGAUGGAGGGGGAUAACUACUGGAAACGGUAGCUAAUACCGCAUAACGUCGCAAGACCAAAGAGGGGGACCUUCGGGCCUCUUGCCAUCGGAUGUGCCCAGAUGGGAUUAGCUAGUAGGUGGGGUAACGGCUCACCUAGGCGACGAUCCCUAGCUGGUCUGAGAGGAUGACCAGCCACACUGGAACUGAGACACGGUCCAGACUCCUACGGGAGGCAGCAGUGGGGAAUAUUGCACAAUGGGCGCAAGCCUGAUGCAGCCAUGCCGCGUGUAUGAAGAAGGCCUUCGGGUUGUAAAGUACUUUCAGCGGGGAGGAAGGGAGUAAAGUUAAUACCUUUGCUCAUUGACGUUACCCGCAGAAGAAGCACCGGCUAACUCCGUGCCAGCAGCCGCGGUAAUACGGAGGGUGCAAGCGUAAUCGGAAUUACUGGGCGUAAAGCGCACGCAGGCGGUUUGUUAAGUCAGAUGUGAAAUCCCCCCGG
RNAcentral lists this ribosomal RNA (537 nucleotides) under Escherichia coli. Its description in RNAcentral is "bacterial SSU rRNA". It matches the Rfam family "Bacterial small subunit ribosomal RNA", at positions 71 to 608 of the family's 1533-position model. The record is from RNAcentral. Lineage: Bacteria; Pseudomonadati; Pseudomonadota; Gammaproteobacteria; Enterobacterales; Enterobacteriaceae.